Molecule: ribosomal RNA, 742 nt
Filed under: Salmonella enterica subsp. enterica serovar Enteritidis
Lineage: Bacteria; Pseudomonadati; Pseudomonadota; Gammaproteobacteria; Enterobacterales; Enterobacteriaceae
Description: partial 23S ribosomal RNA
Rfam family: Bacterial large subunit ribosomal RNA
Source: RNAcentral
AAUCCAUAGGUUAAUGAGGCGAACCGGGGGAACUGAAACAUCUAAGUACCCCGAGGAAAAGAAAUCAACCGAGAUUCCCCCAGUAGCGGCGAGCGAACGGGGAGGAGCCCAGAGCCUGAAUCAGCAUGUGUGUUAGUGGAAGCGUCUGGAAAGGCGCGCGAUACAGGGUGACAGCCCCGUACACAAAAGCGCAUGUGCUGUGAGCUCGAUGAGUAGGGCGGGACACGUGGUAUCCUGUCUGAAUAUGGGGGGACCAUCCUCCAAGGCUAAAUACUCCUGACUGACCGAUAGUGAACCAGUACCGUGAGGGAAAGGCGAAAAGAACCCCGGCGAGGGGAGUGAAAAAGAACCUGAAACCGUGUACGUACAAGCAGUGGGAGCACCCUUUGGGUGUGACUGCGUACCUUUUGUAUAAUGGGUCAGCGACUUAUAUUCUGUAGCAAGGUUAACCGAAUAGGGGAGCCGGAGGGAAACCGAGUCUUAAUUGGGCGUUAAGUUGCAGGGUAUAGACCCGAAACCCGGUGAUCUAGCCAUGGGCAGGUUGAAGGUUGGGUAACACUAACUGGAGGACCGAACCGACUAAUGUUGAAAAAUUAGCGGAUGACCUGUGGCUGGGGGUGAAAGGCCAAUCAAACCGGGAGAUAGCUGGUUCUCCCCGAAAGCUAUUUAGGUAGCGCCUCGUGAAUUCAUCUCCGGGGGUAGAGCACUGUUUCGGCUAGGGGGCCAUCCCGGCUUACCAACC